UAGGGAAUCUUCGGCAAUGGGGGCAACCCUGACCGAGCAACGCCGCGUGAGUGAAGAAGGUUUUCGGAUCGUAAAGCUCUGUUGUAAGAGAAGAACGAGUGUGAGAGUGGAAAGUUCACACUGUGACGGUAACUUACCAGAAAGGGACGGCUAACUACGUGCCAGCAGCCGCGGUAAUACGUAGGUCCCGAGCGUUAUCCGGAUUUAUUGGGCGUAAAGCGAGCGCAGGCGGUUAGAUAAGUCUGAAGUUAAAGGCUGUGGCUUAACCAUAGUACGCUUUGGAAACUGUUUAACUUGAGUGCAGAAGGGGAGAGUGGAAUUCCAUGUGUAGCGGUGAAAUGCGUAGAUAUAUGGAGGAACACCGGUGGCGAAAGCGGCUCUCUGGUCUGUAACUGACGCUGAGGCUCGAAAGCGUGGGGAGCAAACAGGAUUAGAUACCCUGGUAGUCCACGCCGUAAACGAUGAGUGCUAGGUGUUGGGUCCUUUCCGGGACUCAGUGCCGCAGCUAACACAUUAAGCACUCCGCCUGGGGAGUACGACCGCAAGGUUG
RNAcentral lists this ribosomal RNA (550 nucleotides) under uncultured bacterium. RNAcentral's name for it is "bacterial SSU rRNA". It matches the Rfam family "Bacterial small subunit ribosomal RNA", at positions 355 to 896 of the family's 1533-position model. The record is from RNAcentral.